UUCAAGUAAAGAACACUGGCAAUAGUUUACCAUCACAUUUAGGUGACACCACAGAGUCUGUUGCUGCAAGAGUUCCAGCUGAAUACUUCUUACAGAACAGAAGUCCAUCAAUAAUACUCAUUGAGACAUAUAAAGGGCACUCCACAGGUGAUUCUCUGAAAUGAUGCCAUUAAGGGAGUAUUCACACUCAAAGCUCAUCUUUCGAUUGCACAAGUUGAUUCCCCCUCUUCUUGAUAUUUAAAUGGCCGUCUUCUUUGAUUUAGUUGGAUUAACUAAUAUAAGGACCAGAUCAUAAGCAAAGAUUGGGUAGAACUUCCUCAACUUUAUGAAGAACCUCCCCG
This 341-nucleotide unclassified non-coding RNA is filed under the name Hevea brasiliensis (rubber tree). The record is from RNAcentral. Lineage: Eukaryota; Viridiplantae; Streptophyta; Magnoliopsida; Malpighiales; Euphorbiaceae.